CGCCUUUACUCGAGCUUAACUGUGACUGAUCUUCUGGGGAUCUGGUCUCUAAGGCCCUGGGCCCGUCAGAUCCUUAAAUUCUUGUCGCGGGAGAUUUCGGCCCAGUGUUUCCGGGGGGGACAAAGGGCUCACUUUGUGCGGGGGGCCCCCUGGCGAUGUCGUGUUUCAAGGGCCAGCUGUCGCGCAGACACGGAGGUCUCCCGAGAGCAGCCUGCUGCGACCCGAUGGCAGGGGCUGCGGUGCGCCCCGAGUCGCCCCCCUGCCCCCGGCCUCACAGCCGUAACGUGGGCCCUGUGAUGUUGCCUUCCAGAAUCACGGGACAGCCAACCCCCUAGGCAGUGGCGCUCUGACGUGGACAAAGAAAUUCAGCCUGGACUACUUAGCUCUGGACUUCAACUCAGCCUCCCCGGCCCCUGUACAGCAGAAACUUCUCCUCGCGGAAGAGCAAAGAGUCGACUACGUCCAAGUGGAUGAGCAGAAGACCCAAGCCCUGCAGAGCACGAAGCAGGAGUGGACGGACGAGAGGCAGUCCAAAGUGUGAGGCGUGUGCUCGGGCCGGGAUCGGGGCGCGGAGGCUCGGGCCCUGCCCUCACGGCUCUUUUGCCAGAAUCGCACCGAGGGUCGAUCCGGGUCAAGAUCCGGGGAGAACCUGCAGGUUCCGUGGGCUCGGCAAGAACCGCUGGGAGAGAGGGUCAUUUGUGCACGCUGAGCGGCCCUCCCCGGCCACACGGGCCCGGAGCCCCCAGGCUGUGCCCCCACGGCCGUGGACCGCGCCCCGGACCGGGCCGUUCACUUAGGCACGCUCCGAACAGUAAAAACGAGACUGGGGGAGUAGGGUUCCCAGAGUUCGGUGGAGAAGCUGUCCAGCGGAGCGUCGGGGCGCAGAGGAGAGCCGGUCUUGCCAUCGGGACCAUUUGGGUGUCACACUUGCGGAUUCUGACCUGUGUCCUGACCUCCUGGCCCACGGACGGUCCUGGCACCGCGGCUCCUGGAGACGUCUCGUCCCGGCCCCCGAAAUCGCGGCUGAGGAGACGCAAGCCGGAGACCCCAACAGGCACAUCAGUCAUUUGUCUCCCCAGAGAAAGAGAAUUCAAGCGACGGCAGGGAGUGCUGGGCUCCGCGAUGAGCAUAGCAGGUGACCCCGGCCAGGUGGGCCUGCCCCUUCCCGGCACGCGUGCGCCUGCCUCGGCCACCUCUUGCCUGAACGAGCCCGGAAGCGAGGCGUGCCAGGGAUGGUGGCUCCCGCUGGGAAGAAAGGACGAGUGAGCAUGAGAGGAGGCAAGGCCGCCCAGGGGCCCGCACGGAGCCCAGCCCCGGGGGGAGGCCUGGGACAGAGCUGGCCACGCUGCCCGCCGGCACGACGAUUUGCACGAGCUCUAUCGCUUCGGCCGGCCUUGGGGCCACGAGCAACGCGUGCAGACACGGAGGACUCCUCGCCUCUCCCUGUCAUAGGGUUUCGAGCUGGUGCUUUUUGACUGGACACGGCUGCAUGUCCCGCCAGGCCCUCUGUGCGGUGUUCGAAUGGGGAAGUAACGCCAUCCGUAGGUACCGUCACGAAUAGCUCUUAACGAUCACCGUGACAUCCGGCCUGGGAUCCCGCGGUGCCCCGGCAGCGGGCUCCCCGUGAGCUGGCUGAUGCUCACAGAGGUUUGUUGUCCCCUCGGGAAGGGGGAUCGUCCCUGGCUGUCCUAUGCUGGACCCAGUUUCCUGGCGGGUUUUUCCCUUCCGCUUUAGUGCUGCCUAAGCCCCGAGAGCACACGGUCCCACUUUGUCGUGAGGCCAUCGCGUCACCCCUUCCUUGAUGGGGCACCGGGGUCAAGUGGACCCAGAUGAGAGUCUCAGUCGGGCACGGGGUUUUAUUCAAUGGGCCUUCUCGAGUCUUCAGAGCAGCUGCAUCCAGAAGGCAAAUCCGAACAACUGGGACGGAAGCAGAUGCUGGCCUGCCAUUCUGACCGGCUGUGUGUCGCGUAGGAGGAUGGCUUAAGCAGGCAGGCAGGUCUGUGACAGCCAGGGCCAGUCGGGGCAGCUGUGGGCUUUGCUGUGGGGCUUGAGGGUUUCUAAGUGCCCCAAGGGUAAGUCAAGUCCAGUCUUGGCUUUUCAGACCGUUAGAGAAGUACUUUUCAUGUGCAAAGCAGCGGGAUCUGGUGACGGCAUUUUCUUCCUGGAGGAAAGUGGGGUGUGGGGACGUUGUCGAAUGCUUUAAAUGAUGUAAGGGUCCCCCACGAGCCUGGACGGAGAAAUGAGAGGGGCCCCUGCACCCUGCAGCCAGCUCCACGUCACAACGCACAGGCCAGAGCCUGGAAGGAGCCGCCUUCUUCCCUGUGUGACUUACAAAGAGUCACAGAGCCGAGCCUCAGGCAACAAUCCGGGGCUGGUGGACCUCGUAGACAGUAACCUCCGGGGGGAGGGGGGUGCACCUGUGUUCAUAUUCUUGAUUACCUGACAGGCUGAUGCCGGAAUAUUCUAUGCCCAAGUGCCAAGAACCACACUCGACUGGAGCUAGAUCAGGAAAGAAAGUACAGCUAAAAUGACACCGGUAGUGAGGUGGCAUCCAGUUGACCACCCCCCAAACCUCUUUGCAAAACAGUCCCCGGAAGCGUCGGCUGCACGAAGCAAUACACACUGCAGCCGUGUGACUUGUCUGGGAGCAAUUAAUUAGGGGUGAGAAAAAAAGGACUUCAGCCUCCUUUCCAGGGUGUGUGUGACAGGCCCUGCGACAGGCCCUGCUUCGGUAAGACUGCCGAUGGAAGGUUCCCCAGGAGCCUGACGCCUCGCGGCCGGGAAGGGCAGCCAGUUGGGGGCUGACGGCAGCGAGCGCCCCUGGGAAAGGGGCCGCCGUGCACGCGAGGCCGCUCGCCUCUUGUUUCCCUGCGGAGCUGGCUCGUGGGUAACGGGGCCAGGAGUGUGACCAGGGCCUGAGGCUUGGGGCUCUGCACUGAAAAUGGGAACGAUCACAGAUACCAGAGGGAGGCAAGUGCUCACGGCAGCUGUGUGCCCUGCGCGGGGCACGGCCUCCGGGAGGUGGUGGGGCGAGCCCACGUGGGUCUCUGGAGCCCCUUUUUGCUUUUCCUCCCAUGUCAUCCUGUUGGGGAGUUCCUGCAGAUCGGGGGCUGUGCCGUGCCGAAGGGGGGACCCAAGGGUCUCAAGCCUGCAAGUCCCCCAGGCCCCCCAGGAACUUGGGGCAUGGCACUUUCCUUGGGGAGGGAGGAGCUCGAAGGCACAGGGUCCUCCCGCAGGAGAGGCCACCAGGUGCCUCCUGGGCAGGGAGCCACUGGACGGUGGCCUUUGUCCGCUCGGGGCCCCCUCCGUCCCGGGUAGGACCGGCCUUGUACGGAGAAUCACGCUGAUCUGCAAAACCCAGUAUGUUUUGUACUGUUUCCUUUCUGGCAUUAAUAAAGGUUUUAUACGGA
This is a long non-coding RNA of Nyctereutes procyonoides (raccoon dog), 3410 nucleotides long. RefSeq lists it as uncharacterized. Lineage: Eukaryota; Metazoa; Chordata; Mammalia; Carnivora; Canidae. The transcript is spliced from 2 exons. The record is from RefSeq and is a predicted model, not a curated record.